Molecule: ribosomal RNA, 254 nt
Filed under: uncultured bacterium
Lineage: Bacteria
Description: partial 16S ribosomal RNA
Rfam family: Bacterial small subunit ribosomal RNA
Source: RNAcentral
UACGAAGGGGACUAGCGUUGUUCGGAAUCACUGGGCGUAAAGCGCACGUAGGCGGAUUUGUAAGUCAGGGGUGAAAUCCCGGGGCUCAACCUCGGAACUGCCUUUGAUACUGCGAAUCUCGAGUCCGAUAGAGGUGGGUGGAAUUCCUAGUGUAGAGGUGAAAUUCGUAGAUAUUAGGAAAGAACACCGGUGGCGAAGGCGGCCAUCUGGACCAGCACUGACGCUGAGGCACGAAAGCGUGGGGAGCAAACAGG